AUUCCAGCUCCAAUAGCGUAUAUUUAAGUUGUUGCAGUUAAAAAGCUCGUAGUUGGAUUUCGGAUGGGAUUUGCCGGUCCGUCUUUGAGAUGUGUACUGGUAAGUCCUAUCUUGUUGUCGGGGACUAGCUCCUGGGCUUCACUGUCCGGGACUAGGAGCCGACGAAGUUACUUUGAGUAAAUUAGAGUGUUCAAAGCAAGCCUACGCUCUGAAUAUAUUAGCAUGGAAUAACACGAUAGGACUCUGGCUCUAUUUUGUUGGUUUCUAGCGCCAAAGUAAUGAUUGAUAGGGAUAGUUGGGGGUGCUAGUAUUUACCGGCCAGAGGUGAAAUUCUUGGAUUCGGUAAAGACUAACUUAUGCGAAAGCAUUCACCAAGGAUGUCUUCAUU
This 388-nucleotide ribosomal RNA is filed under the name Tetraselmis sp. Its description in RNAcentral is "partial small subunit ribosomal RNA". It matches the Rfam family "Eukaryotic small subunit ribosomal RNA", at positions 582 to 974 of the family's 1831-position model. Lineage: Eukaryota; Viridiplantae; Chlorophyta; Chlorodendrophyceae; Chlorodendrales; Chlorodendraceae. The record is from RNAcentral.